UUUGUUAGGCUUGCUUAAAAGUUUCUGUGCGUCGCUACUUCAUAUUUUAAGUAAUUUACAGACAAAAAACAUAAUUCUCAUAGAUAAGAUUACGUAGUAUUUAAGGGUUUUGAAGUUUUAAUCCAAUAUCUGGGUAUGACAGGAGAACGUUGCCUUCCUGGCAAGGAUCCUGACCUUUGUCGGCCUAAGCCUGCAAAAGUUUGCUUGCAUGUGCAUCUUAUUUCUACGUGCCUGGCAUAUUUUAUCCUCAGAUAUGCCCAUGAUGAGUUGUCAGUAG
Molecule: long non-coding RNA, 277 nt
Filed under: Elaeis guineensis (African oil palm)
Lineage: Eukaryota; Viridiplantae; Streptophyta; Magnoliopsida; Arecales; Arecaceae
Description: long non-coding RNA (EGUI_LNC013504)
Source: RNAcentral